UUGCUGUUGGUGUGGAUAGUUCGCCUAGCCCAAAUCGGUUGUAGCUGUUGGAAGACUGCAAAUGCUCUGCCGAUUCUGCGAUUGACAUCCACGUUAGUCCCACCAUCCGCAGCCACAAUGCUGCCAAGUCGGACUUUGGAACUGCCGAUUGCUGUCAACAAGGCAGAUUUCAUUUCUGCAUUUGCAACCCACUCCAACCUCAGUGUGCUGGCUCUGACUGAGACCUGGAUCCAUGCUGAGAACACUACCACACCUGCUGCCCUGGCCUCCAACUUCAACUUCUCCCAUACCUCACGUCACAACAGACGAGGGGGUGGUACAGGUGAACUGGGGAAGUUCAUCGAUGAAUUUGGCACGCUACUGUCCACCAUCCUAGAUGAUGGAACUCCGCUUCUGGUCCUUGGUUAUUUCAACAUUCAUCUAGACAAGCCACAUGCAGCUGACUUUCUUGCUCUCCUUUCCACAUUCGACCUCAAGCAGUUCACCACACCAGCAACCCACAAAGCCGGCAAACAGCUCAUCCUCACAAGUAAUUGCACCACACAUAAUCUUCU
Ictalurus punctatus (channel catfish) is the source of this 554-nucleotide long non-coding RNA. The record is from Ensembl. NCBI's taxonomy places the organism in Eukaryota, Metazoa, Chordata, Actinopteri, Siluriformes, Ictaluridae.